Molecule: long non-coding RNA, 622 nt
Organism: Apodemus sylvaticus (European woodmouse)
Lineage: Eukaryota; Metazoa; Chordata; Mammalia; Rodentia; Muridae
Exons: 4
Source: RefSeq, a predicted model, not a curated record
CUAGCAUGUGCAAGCAUUGUACUUCACAGGUGUAUCUCUAUCCCCAUUGUACUUCACAGGUAUAACCCUAUCCCCAUUGUACUUCACAGGUAUAUCCCUAUCCCCAUUGUACUUCACAGGUAUAUCCCUAUCCCCAUUGUACUUCACAGGUAUAUCCCUAUCCCCAUUGUACUUCACAGGUAUAUCCCUAUCCCCAUUGUACUUCACAGGUAUAUCCCUAUCCCCAUUGUACUUCACAGGUAUAUCCCUAUCCCCAUUGUACUUCACAGGUAUAUCCCUAUCCCCAUUCUCAUUGUACUUCACAGGUAUAUCCCUAUCCCCAUUGUACUUCACAGGUAUAUCCCUAUCCCCAUUGUACUUCACAGGUAUAUCCCUAUCCCCAUUCUCAUUGUACUUCACAGGUAUAUCCCUAUCCCCAUUGUACUUCACAGGUAUAUCCCUAUCCCCAUUGUACUUCACAGGUAUAUCCCUAUCCCCAUUCUCAUUGUACUUCACAGGUAUAUCCCUAUCCCCAUUGUACUUCACAGGUAUAUCCCUAUCCCCAUUGUACUUCACAGGUAUAUCCCUAUCCCCAUUCUCAUUGUACUUCACAGGUAUAUCCCUAUCCCCAUUGUACUUCACA